This 53-nucleotide transfer RNA is filed under the name Calotes nigrilabris. Its description in RNAcentral is "tRNA-Cys". Lineage: Eukaryota; Metazoa; Chordata; Lepidosauria; Squamata; Agamidae. The record is from RNAcentral.
AGGCUCAGGAAUCGAAAUUCUUCUCCAAAUUUGCAGUUUGGGCCUUCUGAGCC